GGAAGGGUGGCUGAGCGGUUGAAGGCGGCAGUCUUGAAAACUGUUGAACCUGUCAAAGGGUUCCGUGGGUUCGAAUCCCACCCCUUCCGCCA
This 92-nucleotide transfer RNA is filed under the name Candidatus Falkowiibacteriota bacterium. RNAcentral describes it as "tRNA-Ser". It matches the Rfam family "tRNA". Rfam says of the family: Transfer RNA (tRNA) molecules are approximately 80 nucleotides in length. Their secondary structure includes four short double-helical elements and three loops (D, anti-codon, and T loops). Lineage: Bacteria; Candidatus Falkowiibacteriota. The record is from RNAcentral.